UAGUGUUACAGCUCUUUUAGAAUUUGUCUAGCAGGCUUCCCAAUUUUUGCAGGAAAGCCCCU
Molecule: small nuclear RNA, 62 nt
Filed under: Chlorocebus sabaeus (green monkey)
Lineage: Eukaryota; Metazoa; Chordata; Mammalia; Primates; Cercopithecidae
Description: U7 small nuclear RNA (ENSCSAG00000022047.1)
Rfam family: U7 small nuclear RNA
About the family: Animal histone pre-mRNAs are spliced by a different mechanism than nuclear pre-mRNAs and self-splicing introns.
Source: Rfam by way of RNAcentral